UAGUCUCUGGUGAAUCUACUCUUUUUCUUGUGUUCCAGAACCUUCAUUAACAAAGCUUCUAUAGAUUCUGAAUUGAAGAUAAUUGCCCCCCCCACAAUUCUCAUCAUUUAGUAGAUACCUCUUUAUAGAAUAAAUUAUGUGGACCACAAAUGAAACAAAGAUAGUUCAGGAAAAUAUAGUUUCCUAAAUAUCAUUACUGUGUGUGUGUGUGUGUAUUCUUGGGCUGGGUUGUGGGGGAUAAGUAACUUAGUGGUCAGUGCCUGCUUAGCAUGCAUGAGGCCCUGGGUUUGAUCCCCAGUUUGACAAACACAAACAACAAACAAAUCCCAAGAGGUGUACUCUCUUUCUGCUCUGUUCUUCUCUUCAAAGGAUUUUUGUAUCAUAAUCUCUGUAGUAGAUAGUGUCCUGUUAUUGGAUUAUGUAAAGGUGAUGUGUGUGUGGGAUCCUUUAUGAAGCAAAAAAGAUAACUUACUUUAAAAAUAAAAAAACUAUGUAAAAAUGCUAAUUAGUUAAGUAUUUAUCACUUUAAAUAAAAUGUUUAACCUGCUCACUAUAUAUCUAAUUUUUUAAGUUUUUAUAUUUCUGAGUAUUGUCCAGUAUCUGGGUUGAACAGUCACUACAAACAAAUCUAAACCAAAUGGUUUAUGCUUUUCAUUUCCCAGUUUAGUUCUUUGACCAUGCUCUGACUUUUCAUUAUUUGAUUCCCUUUCAACUAAACCUAAUUUACUUACAUUUGCACAAUGCUGUGUUAAUUCUUUAUGUAGAAUUGGUUUUCUUGUGUAUUUCCCCCCAAGUUUAGGUUAAAAAAGCAAAUAAAUGACUGUGCUCUUGGCAGCUGUUUCAAAAUUGUAGCUGUAUAAAGGGUCACAUAUAUUAAAUUACCCUCUAUAAUACUAAUUAUCGUGUGAAUUGUCGUUUAAA
This 921-nucleotide long non-coding RNA is filed under the name Marmota monax (woodchuck). The stretch from base 236 to 306 matches the Rfam family "tRNA". The record is from RNAcentral. Lineage: Eukaryota; Metazoa; Chordata; Mammalia; Rodentia; Sciuridae.